Molecule: ribosomal RNA, 497 nt
Filed under: uncultured bacterium
Lineage: Bacteria
Description: partial 16S ribosomal RNA
Rfam family: Bacterial small subunit ribosomal RNA
Source: RNAcentral
GAUGAACGCUGGCGGCGUGCCUAAUACAUGCAAGUCGAGCGAACAGACGAGGAGCUUGCUCCUCUGACGUUAGCGGCGGACGGGUGAGUAACACGUGGAUAACCUACCUAUAAGACUGGGAUAACUUCGGGAAACCGGAGCUAAUACCGGAUAAUAUAUUGAACCGCAUGGUUCAAUAGUGAAAGACGGUUUUGCUGUCACUUAUAGAUGGAUCCGCGCCGCAUUAGCUAGUUGGUAAGGUAACGGCUUACAAAGGCAACGAUGCGUAGCCGACCUGAGAGGGUGAUCGGCCACACUGGAACGGAGACACGGUCGAGACUCCGGCGGGGGGCAGCAGUAGGGAAUCUUCCGCAAUGGGCGAAAGCCUGACGGAGCAACGCCGCGUGAGGGAUGAAGGUCUUCGGAUCGUAAAACUCUGUUAUUAGGGAAGAACAAAUGUUUAAGUAACUAUGCACGUCUUGACGGUACCUAAUCAGAAAGCCACGGCUAACUACGUG